AGCAGCCGCGGUAAUUCCAGCUCCAAUAGCGUAUAUUAAAGUUGUUGCAGUUAAAAAGCUCGUAGUUGAAUUUCGGGGUCAGUAGAUUGGUCGUGCCACUGGUAUGUACUGGUCUUACUGGCUCCUCCUUCCUGAUGAACCGUAAUGCCAUUAAUUUGGUGUUGCGGGGAGACUGGACUGUUACUUUGAAAAAAUUAGAGUGUUAAAGCAGGCUAACGCUUGAAUACAUUAGCAUGGAAUAAUGAAAUAGGACGUUCGAUCUUAUUUUGUUGGUUUCUAAGAUUGACGUAAUGAUUAAUAGGGAUAGUUGGGGGGCAUUAGUAUUCAAUUGUCAGAGGUGAAAUUCUUGGAUUUAUUGAAGACUAACUACUGCGAAAAGCAUUUGCCAAGGAUGUUUUCAUUAAUCAAGAACGAAAGUUAGGGGGAUCGAAGACGAUCAGAUACCGUCGUAGUCUUAACCAUAAAACUAUGCCGACUAGGGAUCGGAUGAUGUUAAUUUUUUUAAUGACUCAUUCGGCGC
Molecule: ribosomal RNA, 520 nt
Filed under: uncultured Glomus
Lineage: Eukaryota; Fungi; Glomeromycota; Glomeromycetes; Glomerales; Glomeraceae
Description: SSU rRNA
Rfam family: Eukaryotic small subunit ribosomal RNA
Source: RNAcentral